GAGACACCCUUAUGGGGCAGGACUUGCUUCAGUGGGGCUUUGGUGCUCACUGAGUCUGACCCUGAGUGUGUCUCU
Molecule: non-coding RNA, 75 nt
Organism: Myotis lucifugus (little brown bat)
Lineage: Eukaryota; Metazoa; Chordata; Mammalia; Chiroptera; Vespertilionidae
Source: Rfam